UGGGGAAUUUUGGACAAUGGGGGCAACCCUGAUCCAGCCAUGCCGCGUGAGUGAAGAAGGCCUUCGGGUUGUAAAGCUCUUUCGGCGGGGACGAAACGGUCCGUGACAACACCACGGACUAAUGACAGUACUCGCAGAAGAAGCACCGGCUAACUACGUGCCAGCAGCCGCGGUAAUACGUAGGGUGCAGGCGUUAAUCGGAAUUACUGGGCGUAAAGCGUGCGCAGGCGGCUCCUUAAGUCAGAUGUGAAAUCCCCGGGCUUAACCUGGGAACUGCGUUUGAAACUGAGGGGCUAGAGUGUGGAAGAGGGGGGUGGAAUUCCAGGUGUAGCAGUGAAAUGCGUAGAGAUCUGGAGGAACACCGAUGGCGAAGGCAGCCCCCUGGGCUAACACUGACGCUCAUGCACGAAAGCG
RNAcentral lists this ribosomal RNA (414 nucleotides) under uncultured bacterium. RNAcentral's name for it is "bacterial SSU rRNA". It matches the Rfam family "Bacterial small subunit ribosomal RNA", at positions 355 to 761 of the family's 1533-position model. The record is from RNAcentral.